Molecule: non-coding RNA, 205 nt
Organism: Pelobates cultripes (western spadefoot toad)
Lineage: Eukaryota; Metazoa; Chordata; Amphibia; Anura; Pelobatidae
Source: the annotation of a GenBank genome assembly
UGGUCAGAAAACUAAUUUGCAAACCACAAGUCUUGUAUCUGAUCCUGACAAGCUUUUUGGUUAUAUAUUUUUACCUGAAUACGAGGUGUCUUCUCUGUCAUUCAUAAAUGAUGAUACAGCCAUGCUCAGUUGGAAGCACGCCCAGGGUUGUCACAGUCCGUCUCGCAAUACCAAUAUAUUUAUUGCAUGUUUUACCACCGCCUAU